This 1321-nucleotide long non-coding RNA is filed under the name Malus domestica (apple). Its description in RNAcentral is "long non-coding RNA (MDOM_LNC018816)". Lineage: Eukaryota; Viridiplantae; Streptophyta; Magnoliopsida; Rosales; Rosaceae. The record is from RNAcentral.
UUGUAACUUAUCGGAGAUAUCAAUAAACAAGCUUUGCUUCAUUUCAAUGUAUUGUGUUAAAUACACCAAGGCCUUCUUCACUAAGUUCUUUGAAUUUUUCCUUUUGUUGAAACUUGUAUGUUGAAGCUUUGUGAGUGAAGCAUAUAGGUUGAGGUAGUGCUCCCUUAAUUUCCCAAGUGAGGAAAACUUCUCGUUUGGAGACUUGAAAAAUCCAAGUCACUGAGUGGUCAUGAGACUUCCGAGUAUCAAGGUGCAGUAGCAUAUGGUAGGAGUCCCCCAAGUCUCCGGUUGAGGCAUUUCCAUUCUAAGUGGUAGCCCAAAACUCCUUCUUCAUAUAUAUUUGUUAUGAAAGUUGUUAGGUCCAAAGAAUAGGAGGCAUAGGCAAUUUUUUUUUUCUAAAUUUAUAUUUUCGAUUUUUUGAAUUUCUGAAUUUUUGAAUUUUCAAAUUUCCAAAUUUUUUAAUUUCGAAUUUCCAAAAAAAAAAAUUAAAUAUAUAUAUAUAUAUUUUAAAGCUUUGUAGGUGAAGCUUUGGUGUUGAAGUUUUGUAGGUGAAACUUUGAGGUUGAAGCUUUGUUGGGCACCAUGAAUUGAUUUUGCUUCACACUAUCUUGAUCAAGAUAGUGUGAAGCUUUUGUAGGUGAAGCUUUUGUGUUGAAGUUGUGUAGGUCAAGCUUUUGUGGGUCAAGCUUUUGUGGGUCAAGCUUUUGUAGGUGAAGCUUUUGUGGGUCAAGCUUUUAUGGGUCAAGCUUUUGUGGGUGAAGCUUUUGUAGGUGAAGCUUUGUUAGGCACCAUGAAUUGAUUUUGCUUCACACUAUCUUGAUCAAGAUAGUGUGAAGCUUUUGUAGGUGAAACUUUUGUGUUGAAGUUUUGUAGGUGAAGCUUUUGUGGGUGAAGUUUUGUGGGUCAAGCUUUUGUGGGUCAAGCUUUUGUAUGUGAAGCUUUGUGGGUCAAGCUUUUGUAGGUGAAGCUUUUGUGGGUCAAGCUUUUAUGGGUCAAGUUUUUGUUGGGUACCAUGAAUUGAUUUUGUUUCACACUAUCUUGAUCAAGAUAGCGUGAAGCUUUUGAGAAUUUGUAGUUAUCCUCCAUUGAUGAAGCUUUUGUUGGUGAAGCUUUGGAGUUGAAGCUUUCGUUGAAUUUCCCUUUUGUUUUUUUUUUGGGAAACUAGAAAUUUGAAAAUGUGGGAGAGACAACAUAUACAAAUUUUGCUUCCACACUAUUGAGCAAGAAAUUGUGAUGCAAGCCACACCUUGUAGUAGUCGAAGGUUUGGAUGAACCAUAUAAAUUGAAUUUGCUUCUAACAGUCUUGAAUUUGCUUCGAAGG